GAUGAACGCUGGCGGCGUGCUUAAUACAUGCAAGUCGAGCGAACGGACGAGAAGCUUGCUUCUCUGAUGUUAGCGGCGGACGGGUGAGUAACACGUGGAUAACCUACCUAUAAGACUGGGAUAACUUCGGGAAACCGGAGCUAACACCGGAUAAUAUUUUGAACCGCAUGGUUCAAAAGUGAAAGACGGUCUUGCUGUCACUUAUAGAUGGAUCCGCGCUGCAUUAGCUAGUUGGUAAGGUAACGGCUUACCAAGGCAACGAUGCAUAGCCGACCUGAGAGGGGGAUCGGCCACACUGGAUCGUAGCCAGGGUCCAGACUCCUGCGAGAGGCAGCAGUAGGGAAUCUUCCGCAGUGGGCGAGAGCCUGGCGGAGCAACGCCGCGUGAGUGGUAACGGUCUUCGGUUCGUAAAACUCUGUUAUUAGGGAAGAACAUAUGUGUAAGUAGCUGUGGACAGCUUGACGGUACCUGGUCAAAAAGCCACGGCUAACUACGUG
Molecule: ribosomal RNA, 497 nt
Filed under: uncultured bacterium
Lineage: Bacteria
Description: partial 16S ribosomal RNA
Rfam family: Bacterial small subunit ribosomal RNA
Source: RNAcentral